Long non-coding RNA from Hemicordylus capensis (graceful crag lizard), 6428 nucleotides. RefSeq lists it as uncharacterized. The transcript is spliced from 4 exons. NCBI's taxonomy places the organism in Eukaryota, Metazoa, Chordata, Lepidosauria, Squamata, Cordylidae. The record is from RefSeq and is a predicted model, not a curated record.
AUAAACAUAAUAGCAUUGGAUUGAAAAAGAUGUUCAAUAAUAACAUCCAUAGGUCCAUAUUAAUUCCAGAUAUCAUUCCAUUACUGAAAAAAAAAGUGAAAACGUUCAAAGCUUAAUGCCUACACGUACACUAGUCAGCAUCGCAGAUACAAAAAGUAAGUCAAUCCACCAAUUGUUUACACUAAACAAUGGAAAAUUCAGUAUGCCCAGAAAAUGGCAGAGCUGACGUACUUUUGUUCCUUGGGAUUAAUUCUAGAGAGAGGCACUCCAGGAGAGCCAUUCCUCGCUGCAUUCCUUAUAGCUGCCACCUCCACAUUACAAAACUCAAGUUUGGCAUGUGACAUUGUGAGUAGUAUAAGAGACAUACUAGCUGUCAGAAACCAUGUGCUUUUGUUUGCUAACAAAGCCAUGUUGCUUUGGGGGUGAGGUCACCAGAGGCACAUGUUUGCUGACAUCACUGGGAGCUGUCCGAAGCAGGCCUACAUCACUGGAGAUGGUCAAAGGAGGGCCUGUGUCGUCAAAAAUGGCCAAAUCCAGGCCUAUGCCCCCAACCCUGAAGUUCUACCCCCCACUCCUCCACCCCCACCCCAGAUUAUGCCUGGGCAUACCCAGAAGGUGGGCAUGUGACCCCUCUAUGAACACGUCCCACCACUCUGGACCAAUAGGAAAAGGUUUCAGAGCUCAGAGCCCAGGGUAAUUUUAAAGUGUGUUUUUCCCCCUAGGAAAGUGAGGAGCCAUGCCUUCACAUGCAACCUCUAGCCAUGUGGAUCCUAGCAGCAUCAGGAAACAUGCAUAUAAAGCGUAACUGACAAACAUCCAGGAAGAGGUGUUCCUAUAUAGAUCCUGCAUCCUGAGAAUCAUCAUGGUAUUUAAUUUAAACCAUAAGUCUUGCAUUUACACCACUUAGAGAUGAACGUAUCAGGUGGUAUGAAAAUAAAAUUUAAUCUGAACUACAAGCAACACAGGAAGGUGUUGAGUCAUUCUGCAUAUUUCUGAUGAUUGCAGAGGAAACCCUACAUCCUGCGCCAGGAAACUCUGAGAAUACUAAAGAUGGCAGAACAGAUGCAAAAAGGAAGCCCUUUUCUAAGGAUGGUAACUCGCUGGAACAGGCCCAUCCCAACAGGAUCUGGAGGAAGAAAUGGAGAGUGAUUAUUGCACCCCCAGACCCCUAUGAAGACAGGACAUGCUUAGUUGGAAGAACCAACCAACUGAUGAAGCUGAAAAGUGGAGAAAAGUGGCAAUGGAAGAAAUUGAUUCCUUGCACAAAGUGGAGACUUGGAGACUUGUGGAACUACCCGCUGGGAGAAAGACCGUGGGAUGCAAGUGGGUCUACAAAGUCCAGCAGGAACAGCCACCAGGCAUGAGGAAUCUGGAAGGAAGCAUCUAUGGCUUAAGGCAAGCAGCCAGAGCAUGGAAUGAGAAACUGCUACUUAAGGAGGGGUUCGCUCAAGGAAAAGCCGACCCCUGCCUAUAUUCUUGAUUCAGAGACAAUCGAUGGACUUACAUCCUAACACUGAUGGUUUGAUUCUUGUACAUGAGGAAAAGCAAGACAGCCAUGUAAUUGUACGGCACCUGACGAAGGAAAGAGAGGUGAAGAAACUCGGAAGCUUUUCCUCUUACCUUGGCAUCCAAAUAGCAAAAGAAGGGCAUUGGACAUUCCGCAGUGCCAAGGCCAGAUAUUGCCUCUGCAGCUGGAAUCCUGAGCAUAAAUUAGAGUGCACCAAACAACAAGGAUUGGAUAGCAGUCCCAAGGCUGGGAAGAUACCUGAAAGGUACUGCACGCUAUGUACUGUAGAUUCCAACAAGUAGCAAUCCCUAAGUUGUGGGAUAUAUGAAUGCAGCCUGAGGCGAAGACAGAACAGACCGCAAGUCCACAAGUGGACACCUGUUCCUUUUUGGAGGUAAGCCAUAACUUGGAGUUGCCAUGAGCUUGUUGCACAAUCAUCUACAGAAGCAGAGGCUGUUACAGCAAGUGAAGCGUGCCAAUAAGUAGUAUGGAUACACCAACUAUUAUCAGACUUUGGAGUCGAGGAACCAAAGCCCCAGUGAUGUUUGAGGAUACCAAAAUUGUAUCGGAUCUCACAAAUGGAGAAGAUGAAGUCUCACACUAAGCAUAUCCAGGGAGGAUAGCAGUCCACCAACACCUACCAUCCAAUGAGACCGAACUUGAACAGUUCUGUAUGGAGGAGUGGGCAAAUAUUGCUCCGUCUAGAUGUGCAAGGUUGAUAGAGAAGUAUCCCAACAGACUCAAGGCUGUUAUUAAAGCAAAAGGUGGUUCAACAAAAUAUUGACAUGGGGGGGGGCGGUGAUCAUUUUUCAAUCUCAGUUAUUCUUGUUUUUUAUUUCUGACACUUUUUCUGGACUGUAAUUGUGAUGUUUUUCAGUUGGAUGUUAUAGGUUGCAUUGGAUAAGUACAGCUGGUGAAGGGAAUUUUCUUUGUGUUUUCAUUUCAGGAUGUAAGGGAACCAGAAUUUAAGGUCUAUCAAAGGGGGUGAUUCUUUCCUAUACCCACUGUAGGGGUGAAAAGCCACCUUCUGCUGCUAAUUCUUUGGAAAAUGAGCAAACGGAAUAUGUUGCCAAUCCUACAUAGGUGUCAUUAAACCUAUCACCAGAACAAAACCUGGCAGCAGAUGCAGAAACUACUGCUGAUCCUUUGGUUGCUGCUAAACAAUUGGAGCCACAACCAGGUACAUCUGCUGUGGCAGCACCCAGUGUUGAUGCUGCUUUGGGAUGGGACUGCAGUCAGACGCCUCUGCAGAAUCUCAUGCUAAUAUGGUUCCGCAUGUACACCUAGAACUUGUCUGGAGGUGGGAGAGGGUCUUAGUGAAGCAGAGGGGCCUAGAGGUGUAUCAGGAAUUUCAUUUUGUGAGUCUAGAUAAAGCAUCCUCUUAUCCUGAAACAGUUGCUGGGACAUAUUCUGCCAUUUAGCAAUUGUUGAACACUGUGAACAAGAGAAUAAGGCCACGUGACCUUGUCCAGCUCAGAUUACAUGGGGAUGGAACAUCUAACCAUCUGUGUACUGUUAGAAAGCACAGAAGUGCUGAGGAACUUUUCACAACCAUUGGGAACUUGCUCCAGAGUUCUGCAGAAAUCUUUGGGGAUGCAACUUUAAGAUUACUUGUCAUUGUCAUUUCCCCUCCAGGGGAAACACAUUAUAGUGCCAUCAUAGUAAAAAAGAAGCAACACAUGGUAAAUGUCAAUAUUCAUAACACCAACCUCUGUUUUGCAGGGGGACUUGUGGCUAUCAUGUCUGAGAAUCCCCCUGCUUCAGAAAUAAUAGCCAGUGCUAGGAACUUGCACAAUGAUCUUGGCUGGUCAGAUCAGAAAAAGAAUUCUCUCUCUGAUAUAGCGUUUCUUGAACAGCAUUUACAGAUCAAAAUACUUGUAGUUCACUGGGGUGAAAAAGGCUGGGGGUGUUUAAAACCCCCGAGCAGAAGUACUCUCAAAUAUGUUUUACAUUUGUUCACAAUUAAUACUAUUAUGGGAUCAAGAAUGUAAAAGGUUGCUUUGGGACAAGAAACUUUUGUCAAAUUUGCCAGACCCCAUAUACACAUUCCCAUGAUUGUCUGUUAAUGUGCUGUUGGAGCAAAGAGUGCAAGCAGAAAGUGGGCCAAAUAGAUGCUCCACAUGCAAACUACAAUGUAGAUCCCAUGCCUGCUUAGACAGACACAAAAAAAUUGCAGCAGAGCAAAAAGGGGAUUGUACAGUGAGAGAACUAUAUAAGAAUUGUGGCCAUUACAUAAGAGUUAGACCAUGAAAAGAAAUGAGAAUGCCAGGAAAACAGUGCAGAGUCUGUUGGGAGUAUUCUAAGGACCUUGAAAAAGUUGAAUGCUACAUGGGGAAAAUUUGAAAACCUGAAAUAUCUGUAAUGUAUGUGUCUUUUGACUGUGAAUGUACUAGGAAGACAGGACACAUGUUCCUAAUUACAUUUUUUGCAAAAGUAUUCCAAGGUGAAACAGUCACAAAGCUUCAAAAGUAUAGCAAGAAGCCAUGCCCCCCUCACUGAUAAAAGCUGGGAAUUUUGUGGAGAGUCAUGCCUGGCAGACUUCAUCCACAUAUUCACUAGUGACAUACAUUUUAAGAAGUGUUCCUUCCUGGCUCAUAAUUCCAGAAGUUUUGAUUGACUAUUGGUUCUGAAACAGCUGAUAAAAGAAGGCUUGAUGUUGACUUGAUUACCCAAGGGGGAAAGUUGCUGUGUAUCACUGUCAAAACCUUAGAUAUAAAAUUUAUAGAUUCCUUCUGUCAUUAACCAAUGGCACUAGCAAAAUUGCCUAAAGCCAUGGGGGUCCAAGAGUCCAAAGGGUAUUUCCCAAUUUCUUUAACAUGAAGGGAAAUUGGAAUUAUGUGGGUGGUGGGAUGCCAGAUGUAAAAUGCUAUGGCAUUGAAUUUGUGAUGCCUGCUGAAAAGGCUGAGCUCCUGGAAUGGUAUGAAAAGAACAAGUCAAACAUUUUUUACAUACAGAAAGAAUUGGCAGACUGUUGCCAACAAGAUGUAAACAUCUUAGAGCAGACCUACACAAAAUAUAGACAUGAGCUUCUAGAUGUGAAAGUGCCGAUAGUCUCUCUGCAGAAGGGCAAGCACACUGUCUAGCAUGUGCUUAAAGCUGUUUUGCUUCAUGUUUCUUCAAGUGUACCAGAUGGCAAUACCGGCUUCUGAUAAUUAUCACAGGCAAUAUAAAAGAUUCUCUAAAACUGACCACUCAAGAUGGCAUCCGUACAUGCUCACAUAUCAUUUCCUGCUGGGAACAGGGAACUUCCUGUUUCUAAGCAAAUGCAGCUGGGCAAACAGAGAGCCCAGCUGCUUAACACAAACAGUGCCACUCUGGGGGGGCGGGGGGCGGCAAAGGUGUAAUGGAGAGGGAGGUAAGACCUGCCUUCCUCCCUUUAAAGUGUCUGCACUCCACUGCCCCAGAUGUGCAUGAAACACUUUGGGCACAUCCCUAGUUUCUAACUCCGCUGUUAAGCUUCUCCAUCUCUCUGAUAAUAGGACUUCUAACUAAGAAGGAGCGCCUUCUCUGCGGCCAUCCCUCUUGUUUGGAACACUCUUUUCCUCCCCCAGAUUCAUUUAGCCCCCUCCCUAGCUGCUUAGAAGGCUCUUCUUAAGACCUAUCUGUUUCACAAGGUGUUUGCCCUUUAAUUUUUUUUUAAUGUCAUUUGUAUUGUUGUUCACUGCCUAGAGUCUUUGGAGGAGGCGGUAUAUAAGAAAUUCUAAAUAAAUAAAUAAAUAAAUAUUCUAAAUAGCCCCUGCUAACUGAGCAAAGAGGCAUCUUUUAAAAGUGGUGAUUCUCUUUAUUUAGCGGGGUGAGGGGAGCAACUGGCCCUAUCCAGUCCCAGCACAGCAUCCCUCCAGUGGCUGUUGCUGGUGUCAACUUUAUGUUUCAUUUUAGAUUGUGAGCGCUUUGGGGACAGGGAACCAUCUUAUUUCUGUAUUAUUUAUUUUUCUAUGUAAACUGCUUUGACAACUGUGGUUGAACGGCGAUAUAUAAAUAUCCAUAGUAGUAAAUAAUCAAUAAUGGAAUAUGCUGAAAAGAUGUACUUGGUCCCUAAAUACUAGCUAGAACAGCUAAAAGAAUAACAAUAAGAACAGUUAUUGUUAACCACCCAGUGACAGAAGUUUGGGGAGGUGUACAAAUCUGAUAAAUAAAUAAAUAAAAAUUUUAAAAAGAGCCCUCAGGAGGAAAACAUCAGAAUUCCGAUAAUCUAUGCUUUAGGAACUGAAAUGCAAGGUGUUCUUCAGAGGUCUGGCUUCACUGAAUAUGAAAAAGCUAAACUUUAUUUAUUUAUUUAUUUAUUUGAUUUGAUUUGAUUUGAUUUGAUUUCUAUACCACCCUUACAAAAAUGGCUCAGGGCCAUUUAUGAGGCCCUACUCAAAAAAUAUAUAACCCACGUGAGGCAGGGAGAAGCAUGACAGGGAGAACUAAACCUUCAGCCGGAGUAGGCCUCCGCUGGCGUUUCCCAAAAUUCUGAUGCCAUCUUCCAAGAGGUCUUGGGUAGCUUACCUGCAAGGUCCAAGAACUCAGCAAAGAUUCUGUCAAAGAAGUGGAAGCAGAACACAGAGGUUUCUUUGCCACCUUUGUGUCCAAGGGUGAGACUGUUGGUGUCUCCAACACACUGGUUCUGGUCAAAGAUAUCACACAAGUUUGCGAGCUGCACAUUUUGCACCCAAUCACUUCCCUAGAGGCUGGGAUGUUUUAAUGAGGGCUGUGGUUGAACUAAACGUUUUAACUUCUGCAGCAGGAAAUGGUACCACCAGGGAUGCUUUAGAAUAUCUUUUUUUUGAAAAAAACCCAAAACCCCCAAACCCCUAGCAGUGUGUCUCUGUCACCUAGCACUUCUUGCCGGGUUUCUAAAAAACAGAGGAAAUCUAACUGGAUAAAAUUUUAAUGUCUUUAUGUUUUUCAUAUUUAAAAUAAAAUUGCUUUCAUCAAA